Molecule: non-coding RNA, 1468 nt
Organism: Elaeis guineensis (African oil palm)
Lineage: Eukaryota; Viridiplantae; Streptophyta; Magnoliopsida; Arecales; Arecaceae
Source: RefSeq, a predicted model, not a curated record
GAUCUCUCCAUCUCCCUCCCUCCCGCGUUCGAAACGGGGUGGGUUUCUUCUUCCUUCCGACCGAAGCUCCCGUCUCUUUCAAAGCACUUGGCCUUCUCCCCCGAUUGUUUUAGGUGAUUUUCGCAAGACAAUUUCCUCUUCCUCUUCGGCAUCUGUUCUUGGCCCUCUCCUCUCGUUCUUGGUGCUUCUUUUGAUCGUUCUUGGGGUCUCUCUCAAUAAAAUUCUUGGAUUCCAACGGAUGUUCCUCUGUUCUUUUUAUUUCUCUAUAUAUUUAGAAUUUUAUCAGAAGAAUUGGAGUUUUGAUGCUAGGUAUCUUGGGAGCUCGAUACCGUUCCACCUCAUCAGAUCAGGAAGUAACUCCUAAUUUGAUCAAGAAAAUUUCCUCUUCCUCUUCGGUAUGUGUUCUUGGCCCUCUCCUGUUGUUCUUGGUGCUUCGUUUGAUCGUUGUUGGGAUCUCUCUCAAGAAAAUUUGGGUUUCCGAUCUGGACUCCAACGGAUGUUCCGCUGUUCUUUUUUUUUCUCCGUAUAUUUACAAUUUUAUAGAAGAAUUGGAGUUUUGAUGCUAGGUAUCUUAGGAACUUGAUGCCGUUCCACUGCAUCAGAUCAGGAAGUAACUCCUAAUUUGAUCAAGAAAAUUUCCUCUUCUUCUUCGGUAUGUGUUCUUGGUCCUCUCCUCUGGUGCUUCUUUUGAUCGUUGUUGGGAUCUUUCUCAAGAAAAUUUGGGUUGCGGGCCUGGACUCCAACGGAUGUUCCGCUGUUCUUUUUAUUUCUCCAUAUUUGUAGAAUUUUUUUAGAAGAAUUGGGGUUUUGAUGUUAGGUAUCUCGGGAGCGUUGCGAUCUUUCAAGGCUGAUCAAAUUAAGAGUUGUUUACUGAUCUGAUGCGGCGGAACGGUAUCAAGCCGUGGCAAUAAUGGGUUGUAGGAGAUCCAGGAUUUCUUUUGAGAGCUAUGUGUUUUCCAGACAAAUUUUUUGAAAGUUUGUUUUUCAAGUUAGCCCAUUUCGAAUUAUCUCGAGGCUUUCUUGAACCCGCCUUCAGAUUUGAAAUAACAAUCAUAUGCACUACCAUAGCUCCAGGUAGAUUGUCAUUUCUGCAACAUCCUGCUACAAGCUGACACCAUGACUUGCAUCUGAAUUAAUCUGCUUUAUGUACAAAUGACGUUCAGGUAUGUUGCAGAGCCAUAGUUGUCAUGGAGUCAUCGGCAGGGUGGAGCAUCAAGAGAGAGGGGAGGGGGGAGAGAAAGCUCUUGAGAGUAGAAUCGAGAGAUAGAGGGAGAGGCGUACCUCAGAGCCAUGGUCAUCGUCAACAGCGGAACAUCUAUAGGGAGGGGCAAGGAAGCUUCCAAAAGUAGAAUCAAGAGAGGGUAGAGAUGGAGAGGGGCAUCGAGAGAUCGAGAUGGAGAGAGAAUGGGAGAGAACAGUUGAUAGAGAGUGAGAGGAUCGGGAUGGCGAAGGGAUUUUUCUGAAAAAC